Molecule: ribosomal RNA, 252 nt
Filed under: uncultured bacterium
Lineage: Bacteria
Description: partial 16S ribosomal RNA
Rfam family: Bacterial small subunit ribosomal RNA
Source: RNAcentral
UACGGAGGAUGCGAGCGUUAUCCGGAUUUAUUGGGUUUAAAGGGUGCGUAGGCGGCGAGUUAAGUCAGCGGUAAAAGCCCGGGGCUCAACCCCGGCCCGCCGUUGAAACUGGCAGCCUUGAGUGAGCGAGAAGUAUGCGGAAUGCGUGGUGUAGCGGUGAAAUGCAUAGAUAUCACACAGAACACCGAUUGCGAAGGCAUCUGACGAAUCGGAGAUUGACGCUGAUGCACGAAAGCGUGGGUAUCGAACAGG